CCUACGGGAGGCAGCAGUGGGGAAUUUUGGACAAUGGGGGCAACCCUGAUCCAGCCAUUCCGCGUGAGUGAAGAAGGCCUUCGGGUUGUAAAGCUCUUUCGCAAGGGAAGAAAACUUAUGAUCGAAUAAAUCAUGAGGUUGACGGUACCUUGAUAAGAAGCACCGGCUAACUACGUGCCAGCAGCCGCGGUAAUACGUAGGGUGCGAGCGUUAAUCGGAAUUACUGGGCGUAAAGCGUGCGCAGGCGGUUUUGUAAGUCGGAUGUGAAAUCCCCGGGCUCAACCUGGGAACUGCGUUCGAAACUGCAAGGCUAGAGUGUGUCAGAGGGGGGUAGAAUUCCACGUGUAGCAGUGAAAUGCGUAGAGAUGUGGAGGAAUACCAAUGGCGAAGGCAGCCCCCUGGGAUAACACUGACGCUCAUGCACGAAAGCGUGGGGAGCAAACAGGAUUAGAUACCCUGGUAGUCCACGCCCUAAACGAUGUCAACUAGUUGUUGGUAGAGUAAAAUCUAUGAGUAACGUAGCUAACGCGUGAAGUUGACCGCCUGGGGAAGUACGGUCGCAAGNUUAAAACUCAAAAGAGUAGUAGAGCGNGAGAGCGACGACGACGACGACGAGGAGGAGG
This 623-nucleotide ribosomal RNA is filed under the name uncultured bacterium. RNAcentral describes it as "bacterial SSU rRNA". It matches the Rfam family "Bacterial small subunit ribosomal RNA", at positions 338 to 956 of the family's 1533-position model. The record is from RNAcentral.